AUGAUUCCAAGACUUGGAAUCAUACCAGCGGAUGGGUGGUGGUUUAUCGCUCAUUCAGCUGACGGUGGUCAUUUGAUGCUCAUUCGCACCUUGUUGCCAGAUAAUCUUCAGUGUGUGAAAGACAUCAAGCUUCCAUGCGAUUACAAUAUAACUGGCAUUAACCGAUGCAAGUCCAAGAAGGAUUGGCCGGUGCUGCGGGCUGGCAUCAAGUUCGAUCCCACGGAUCAGGAGCUGAUUGAGCACCUUGAGGCCAAAGUGAGUGCUGAUAGCGCGAUAUCUCACCCUCUCAUCGAUUUGUUUAUACCAACCAUCGAAAGCAAGCAUGGCAUAUGCUACACCCAUCCUGAGAAACUUCCAGGUAUCACACUGAGUGGCCUAAGCAAGCAUUUCUUCCAGCGCAAUUCUAGGGUGUUCAAAAGGGGCACAUGGAUGCGUCGCAAGAUAGAGUCGGAGUGCGACAUGCACGCGAUGUGGCACAAGACCGGCAAUACCUUGCCGGUGAUGGUCAACGGCCCGCAGACGGGCAACAAAAAGGUUCUGGUGCUGCACACCAACAAGACCUUCGACCAGCGGAGGACCAACUGGGUGAUGCACCAGUACCACCUCAGUGACCUGGAGCAAGAGAAGGAGCGGGAGCUGGUCCUCUGCAAGAUUUUCUUCCAGACAAACACUAGGGCCAGGAGUAAAAAGAUUAUAAGUUAG
Molecule: ribosomal RNA, 702 nt
Filed under: Triticum aestivum (bread wheat)
Lineage: Eukaryota; Viridiplantae; Streptophyta; Magnoliopsida; Poales; Poaceae
Description: partial small subunit ribosomal RNA
Source: RNAcentral